UACGGGGGGGGGAAGCGUUGUUCGGAUUCACUGGGCGUAAAGGGUGCGUAGGUGGUCGGGUAAGUCUGAUGUGAAAUCUCCGAGCUUAACUCGGAAAUGGCAUUGGAUACUAUUCGGCUAGAGGGUUUGAGGGGGGACUGGAAUACUUGGUGUAGCAGUGAAAUGCGUAGAUAUCAAGUGGAACACCAGUGGCGAAGGCGAGUCCCUGGAAAACUCCUGACACUGAGGCACGAAAGCUAGGGGAGCAAACAGG
This 253-nucleotide ribosomal RNA is filed under the name uncultured bacterium. RNAcentral describes it as "partial 16S ribosomal RNA". It matches the Rfam family "Bacterial small subunit ribosomal RNA", at positions 524 to 776 of the family's 1533-position model. The record is from RNAcentral.